This is an RNA transcript of Nicotiana attenuata, 821 nucleotides long. RefSeq lists it as uncharacterized. The record is from RefSeq and is a predicted model, not a curated record. The transcript is spliced from 5 exons. Lineage: Eukaryota; Viridiplantae; Streptophyta; Magnoliopsida; Solanales; Solanaceae.
GGUAUAAUGUGAUGGCAAUUUGUGGACAGUGGACACUCGUUGAACAAGGAACUACAGAAGGAAAUCAAAGUGGAAAAUCCCUUGUUGCAUAAGUGCUGAGUUGAACUAAACCAGUUUCCCAUGAGUCAGGCUGCAUAUAUGACUGAAAAUUCAGAUUUUUCGCACAUGGAAUUGGAUAGUUUACUAUUACAGAGAGGCUUGGUCACUUUUAUUAGUGGGACAGAUAAGCAUGUAUAUGCAGAUUGAUUUUAAAUCCAGUAGAUUGAGAAGAAAAUUUUCAUGCUACUUGAAUUUUGUCUACUGUGCUGAGCAUCAGACCAUCCACUUCACUAUUGGUUUUAGACAGGGUUUAAAGAGGGAAAUUCCCAUUGAAAGCCAACAUGCUGAAGAAUUGUUGGUCCUGUUAUUCAAUUUCGUGCAAUCAAUGAUUCAAUGUCCAGUUACCGAAACACUAGUGGAACAGUUUUUGGUUUGGCUUAUAUCAGGUAGAUUGGGGAGAAGCAAGCAUGAUCCAGGCAGAGCGCAUUUUACUUCAGCAUGCAUUGAUGGAUCCUCUCAAUGAACGAUUUGUUUUCCUUUCAGACAGUUGCAUACCUUUGUACAACUUCAGCUAUACGUACAACUACAUAAUGUCUACGCCAAAUAGCUUUGUUGACAGCUUUGCUGAUACAAAAGAAGGCCGCUACAACCCCAAAAUGGAUCCACUUAUUCCUGUUCAAAGCUGGAGGAAAGGUUCUUAGUGGGCUGUUUUAAACAGAAAGCAUGCAGAUAUUGUUUUGAAGGAUGAAAGAUUAUUUUCUAUGUUUCAGUUGCAUUGCAAG